This is a long non-coding RNA of Brienomyrus brachyistius, 844 nucleotides long. RefSeq lists it as uncharacterized. The record is from RefSeq and is a predicted model, not a curated record. Lineage: Eukaryota; Metazoa; Chordata; Actinopteri; Osteoglossiformes; Mormyridae. The transcript is spliced from 3 exons.
CCUGCUCUAGACCAGUGUUCCCCAACCUGGUCCUGUGGGGCCCGCAGCCGGUUGAUGUUUUUGCUUCCUCCCCCCCGAGCUCGCUGCCAGACAGUUCACAUUUUUGCUCCCUCCCAGCUCCCAGCAAAAACGCGGACUUUUUGUGGGUCCCUGAGGACUGGAUCAUGGAAACACUGCUGAAGAGGUUAGGGGCAUGCGCUGACAGCGCGUUGCUGCACCCACCACGCAACAAACCACCUCAGAGAUGAGACCCCGAGUACAACCAUGUGGCGGGUGACACCUCAGCACCACGCUAGUCCGAAUGGACCAGUGUGAGUUUUUUUCCGGUGCCUGGAGUGCUAGACAGCAUAUAAAAUGUAAUCUAAAAUGGACUGUUGAACAGACCGAAAUCUAAGCUGGUGGUUGCCAUCAGAAUAAUAAAACUCAAAACCGCUGUGCGACUAUGACUAGAGUGCCCUGCAGAAUUAUUAGCAGCUUUGUUAAAACUGAGCUUAAAAAAAUGUAUGACAAAGUAUUGACCUCAACCUCAGUGAACACCUGUAGAGCGAACAGAAGUGGACCUGUGGUUCUUGAGAUGAGAACCGACUCAGUGCCAAUGUGUUUGCAAAGCAAUCCGAGGAUGUGUCAUCAUUCCCAAGAAAUCAAAGGAAAUUAGCCGCGGAUGGCCGAUAAAACAAUUACUCGCUGAAAAACUUUUGAGGGACGCAUUUGUCCAUAAAAUCAAGUCCGGAGUCCCAGUCGCACCUCCUAUUUCUGAUCCAUUGCUUCCCAAUAAAAAAAAAAACUGUGCUUAGUUCUGCUUUCUGAAAUGUAUUUUUCAAAUGACAGGUUUGAUUUAUUGCGG